This 254-nucleotide ribosomal RNA is filed under the name uncultured bacterium. Its description in RNAcentral is "partial small subunit ribosomal RNA". It matches the Rfam family "Bacterial small subunit ribosomal RNA", at positions 26 to 285 of the family's 1533-position model. The record is from RNAcentral.
AGGACGAACGCUGGCGGCGUGCUUAACACAUGCAAGUCGAGCGGAAAGGCCCUUCGGGGUACUCGAGCGGCGAACGGGUGAGUAACACGUGAGCAACCUGCCCUUAGCUCCGGGAUAGCUCCGGGGAACCGGAAUUAAUACCGGAUACGACCACGGCCGACAUCUGCUGUGGUGGAAAGGAUUCCGGCUAAGGAUGGGCUCGCGGCCUAUCAGCUAGUUGGUGGAGUAACGGCCCACCAAGGCGACGACGGGUA